CCUACGGGAGGCAGCAGUGGGGAAUAUUGCACAAUGGGGGAAACCCUGAUGCAGCGACGCCGCGUGAGUGAAGAAGUAAUUCGUUACGUAAAGCUCUAUCAGCAGGGAAGAAACACUGACCUUACGGUCAGCAGACGGUACCUGAGUAAGAAGCCCAGGCUAACUACGGGCCAGCAGCCGCGGUAAUACGUAGGGGGCAAGCGUUAUCCGGAUUUACUGGGUGUAAAGGGAGCGGAGACGGUGCGCCAAGUCUGGAGUGAAAGGCGGCAGCUUAACUGCGGACGUGCAUUGGAAACUGGCGAACUAGAGUGCGGGAGGGGUAAGCGGAAUUCCUGGUGUAGCGGUGAAAUGCGUAGAUAUUAGGAGGAACACCGGUGGCGAAGGCGGCUUACUGGACCGUAACUGACGUUGAGGCUCGAAAGCGUGGGGAGCAAACAGGAUUAGAUACCCGAGUAGUC
Molecule: ribosomal RNA, 458 nt
Filed under: uncultured bacterium
Lineage: Bacteria
Description: partial 16S ribosomal RNA
Rfam family: Bacterial small subunit ribosomal RNA
Source: RNAcentral